UACGGGGGGGGCAAGCGUUGUUCGGAAUUACUGGGCGUAAAGAGCGUGUAGGCGGCCAAGCAGGUCCGUUGUGAAAACUGGAGGCUUAACCUCCAGACGUCGACGGAAACCGCGUGGCUAGAGUCCGGAAGAGGAGAGUGGAAUUCCUGGUGUAGCGGUGAAAUGCGCAGAUAUCAGGAAGAACACCAAUGGCGAAGGCAGCUCUCUGGGACGGUACUGACGCUGAGACGCGAAAGCGUGGGGAGCGAAGAGG
RNAcentral lists this ribosomal RNA (253 nucleotides) under uncultured bacterium. RNAcentral describes it as "partial 16S ribosomal RNA". It matches the Rfam family "Bacterial small subunit ribosomal RNA", at positions 524 to 776 of the family's 1533-position model. The record is from RNAcentral.